RNAcentral lists this long non-coding RNA (501 nucleotides) under Capsicum annuum. RNAcentral describes it as "long non-coding RNA (CANN_LNC002980)". The record is from RNAcentral. Lineage: Eukaryota; Viridiplantae; Streptophyta; Magnoliopsida; Solanales; Solanaceae.
ACAGUGGAUGCACGAUCUUCUGUCAAGAGAAACAAAGGAAAAUUUGCUUCACUAACGUAUGAGUCAUCCAAUGUGAGGUGUGUACAAUAUAAAUGGAGUUGUAUUUUUGAAAAGAGUAUAAGAAGUAACACACAUGCUCAGUUGAAGUUAGUGUUGGGAAAAAGAUAGUACAAGUGAUCUUUAUCUUCCACUUUCAUAUUGCAUGCUUUGUACUUGCAUAUUUAAGAAUUAAUAUGAUUAAGGCAUUUCAUUCUACUAUCCAAACAUUGUGUCAUCCUUUGCUUAUCCUUUUUGAGCCUAAUCCUAUUUUCCUUUGUACCCAUCUUUUGGAAUCAAGUUGGAGACAGUAAAACAAAAAAAAAAGUGAAAAAGAAAAAGAAAAAAUGUGUCGAGAAAAGAAUAGAGUAAUGAAAAAUUCAAAAAAAAUAAUGAGUCAAGAAAGAAAAUAGAAGUGUCAAAAAAAAUAGAAUCAUAAAAAGUCCCAAAGAAAAAAAAAGAUGA